This 241-nucleotide unclassified non-coding RNA is filed under the name plant metagenome. RNAcentral describes it as "partial contains small subunit ribosomal RNA, internal transcribed spacer 1, and 5.8S ribosomal RNA". The record is from RNAcentral.
UUUCCGUAGGUGAACCUGCGGAAGGAUCAUUAUUGAAUGAAACACUCCUGGCUUUAUGCUGUUGUGCUGGCCCUUUGGGCAAUGUGCACACGGCUCUGGUCACUUGUUUCUUCUGUUCCACCUGUGCACUGCCUGUAUACACGCUGUGUCUAUGAUAUUUUUUAACACACAGCAAUGUUAGUUGGCAUGUUAUAUAUAAUAAUAAAAUAUACAACUUUCAACAACGGAUCUCUUGGCUCUC